RNAcentral lists this ribosomal RNA (481 nucleotides) under uncultured bacterium. RNAcentral describes it as "bacterial SSU rRNA". It matches the Rfam family "Bacterial small subunit ribosomal RNA", at positions 28 to 526 of the family's 1533-position model. The record is from RNAcentral.
GACGAACGCUGGCGGCGUGCUUAACACAUGCAAGUCGAACGAUGAAGCCUUUCGGGGUGGAUUAGUGGCGAACGGGUGAGUAACACGUGGGUAAUCUGCCCUGUACUCUGGGAUAAGCCUUGGAAACGAGGUCUAAUACCGGAUAUUACCUUCUUCCGCAUGGGAGUUGGUUGAAAGUUCCGGCGGUACAGGAUGAACCCGCGGCCUAUCAGCUUGUUGGUGGGGUAAUGGCCUACCAAGGCGACGACGGGUAGCCGGCCUGAGAGGGCGACCGGCCACACUGGGACUGAGACACGGCCCAGACUCCUACGGGAGGCAGCAGUGGGGAAUAUUGCACAAUGGGCGAAAGCCUGAUGCAGCGACGCCGCGUGAGGGAUGACGGCCUUCGGGUUGUAAACCUCUUUCGACAGGGACGAAGCGAAAGUGACGGUACCUGUAGAAGAAGCACCGGCUAACUACGUGCCAGCAGCCGCAGUAAUAC